CACACACAGGAACAGGUAAAACACACACAUAGAACAGGUAAAACACACACAUAAGAACAGGUAAAACACACACAGGAACAGGUAAAACACACACAUAAGAACAGGUAAAACACACACAUAAGAACAGGUAAAACACACACAUAAGAACAGGUAAAACACACACAUAAGAACAGGUAAAACACACACAUAAGAACAGGUAAAACACACACAUAAGAACAGGUAAAACACACACAUAAGAACAGGUAAAACACACACAUAAGAACAGGUAAAACAACACACAGGUGUAUAUCAGUGACAGUACUUUGUGUGUCUGUUUACAUGUUGUGUAACUGCGUAUAAUAUGCGUCGUGUAGUAUUGUGUAUCAGUGUUGCAUAGCUGUGUGUAUACUGGAUGCUGUGUAGUUGUGCGUACAUGUUGUGCAGCUGUUUGUAUACAUGGAUGUUGUGUAGCAGUGUGUUAAUGCGUUGUGUAGUUUUGUGUAUGUGCUGUUUUUAAAUGAUGUGUAGCUGUUUGGCAGUGUGUAUGUAUGUGUAGCCGUUGUGUAUUUGU
Long non-coding RNA from Acanthochromis polyacanthus (spiny chromis), 550 nucleotides. RefSeq lists it as uncharacterized. NCBI's taxonomy places the organism in Eukaryota, Metazoa, Chordata, Actinopteri, Pomacentridae. The record is from RefSeq and is a predicted model, not a curated record. The transcript has 4 exons.